This 465-nucleotide ribosomal RNA is filed under the name uncultured Klebsiella sp. Its description in RNAcentral is "bacterial SSU rRNA". It matches the Rfam family "Bacterial small subunit ribosomal RNA", at positions 338 to 795 of the family's 1533-position model. Lineage: Bacteria; Pseudomonadati; Pseudomonadota; Gammaproteobacteria; Enterobacterales; Enterobacteriaceae. The record is from RNAcentral.
CCUACGGGAGGCAGCAGUGGGGAAUAUUGCACAAUGGGCGCAAGCCUGAUGCAGCCAUGCCGCGUGUGUGAAGAAGGCCUUCGGGUUGUAAAGCACUUUCAGCGGGGAGGAAGGCGGUGAGGUUAAUAACCUCAUCGAUUGACGUUACCCGCAGAAGAAGCACCGGCUAACUCCGUGCCAGCAGCCGCGGUAAUACGGAGGGUGCAAGCGUUAAUCGGAAUUACUGGGCGUAAAGCGCACGCAGGCGGUCUGUCAAGUCGGAUGUGAAAUCCCCGGGCUCAACCUGGGAACUGCAUUCGAAACUGGCAGGCUAGAGUCUUGUAGAGGGGGGUAGAAUUCCGGGUGUAGCGGUGAAAUGCGUAGAGAGCUGGAGGAAUACCGGUGGCGAAGGCGGCCCCCUGGACAAAGACUGACGCUCAGGUGCGAAAGCGUGGGGAGCAAACAGGAUUAGAUACCCCAGUAGUC